GGAGGGGUCAUGACUCAGUGGCAGAGCAUCUGCUGAGCAUGCAGAAGAUCGCAGGUUUGAUCCCUGGCAUCUCCA
Molecule: transfer RNA, 75 nt
Filed under: Sphaerodactylus townsendi
Lineage: Eukaryota; Metazoa; Chordata; Lepidosauria; Squamata; Sphaerodactylidae
Description: tRNA-Ala
Source: RNAcentral